UGGGGAAUAUUGGACAAUGGGCGAAAGCCUGAUCCAGCCAUGCCGCGUGUGUGAAGAAGGUCUUCGGAUUGUAAAGCACUUUAAGUUGGGAGGAAGGGCAUUAACCUAAUACGUUAGUGUUUUGACGUUACCGACAGAAUAAGCACCGGCUAACUCUGUGCCAGCAGCCGCGGUAAUACAGAGGGUGCAAGCGUUAAUCGGAAUUACUGGGCGUAAAGCGCGCGUAGGUGGUUUGUUAAGUUGGAUGGGAAAUCCCCGGGCUCAACCUGGGAACUGCAUUCAAAACUGACGGACUAGAGUAUGGUAGAGGGUGGUGGAAUUUCCUGUGUAGCGGUGAAAUGCGUAGAUAUAGGAAGGAACACCAGUGGCGAAGGCGACCACCUGGACUAAUACUGACACUGAGGUGCGAAAGCGUGGGGAGCAAACA
RNAcentral lists this ribosomal RNA (427 nucleotides) under uncultured bacterium. Its description in RNAcentral is "partial 16S ribosomal RNA". It matches the Rfam family "Bacterial small subunit ribosomal RNA", at positions 355 to 774 of the family's 1533-position model. The record is from RNAcentral.